RNAcentral lists this ribosomal RNA (458 nucleotides) under Paracirrhites arcatus (arc-eye hawkfish). RNAcentral describes it as "partial 12S rRNA". It matches the Rfam family "Bacterial small subunit ribosomal RNA", at positions 312 to 939 of the family's 1533-position model. The record is from RNAcentral. Lineage: Eukaryota; Metazoa; Chordata; Actinopteri; Centrarchiformes; Cirrhitidae.
CUGGUAUCAGGCUCGACACCUUCAGCCCACAACACCUUGCUCAGCCACACCCCCAAGGGAUUGCAGCAGUGAUAAACAUUAAGCUAUGAGUGAAAACUUGACUUAGUUAAAGAUAAUCCUGGGCCGGUCAAAACUCGUGCCAGCCACCGCGGUUAAACGUGAUUAUGGCCCAAGUUGACAGCCUACGGCGUAAAGGGUGGUUAAGGAAAAAAACAAAACUAAAGCUAAAUGCCCCCCCGGCUGUUAUACGCUCUCGGGGGUAAGAAAAUCAACAACGAAAGUGGCUUUACCCCCCCCCCGAUUCCACGAAAGUUAUGGUACAAACUGGGAUUAGAUACCCCAUUAUGCCUAACCCUAAACAUUGAUAGUAAGUCACACCCACUAUCCGCCUGGGUACUACAAGCACCAGCUUCAAACCCAAAGGACUUGGCGGUGCUUCAGAUCCCCCUAGAGGAGCC